UUUUCAUGAGAGUGGCGCACGGGUGCGUAACACGUAUGUAACCUACCUUUAAUCAGGGGGAUAGCCUCUCGAAAGAGAGAUUAACACCGCAUAAAAUCAAUUUAUGGCAUCAUAGAAUGAUCAAAUAUUUAUAGGAUUAAGAUGGGCAUGCGGAACAUUAGCUAGUUGGUAAGGUAACGGCUUACCAAGGCUACGAUGUUUAGGGGAUCUGAGAGGAUGACCCCCCACACUGGUACUGAGACACGGACCAGACUCCUACGGGAGGCAGCAGUAAGGAAUAUUGGUCAAUGGGCGCAAGCCUGAACCAGCCAUGCCGCGUGCAGGAAGACGGCCCUACGGGUUGUAAACUGCUUUUGUACCGGAAUAAACCUUUGUAUGUAUACGAAGCUGAAUGUACGGUAAGAAUAAGGAUCGGCUAACUCCGUGCCAGCAGCCGCGGUAAUACGGAGGAUCCAAGCGUUAUCCGGAUUUAUUGGGUUUAAAGGGUGCGUAGGUGGCCUAUUAAGUCAGGGGUGAAAGACGGUAGCUCAACUAUCGCAGUGCCUUUGAUACUGAUGGGCUUGAAUACACUAGAGGUAGGCGGAAUGUGACAAGUAGCGGUGAAAUGCAUAGAUAUGUCACAGAACACCAAUUGCGAAGGCAGCUUACUAUAGUGUCAUUGACACUGAGGCACGAAAGCGUGGGGAUCAAACAGGAUUAGAUACCCUGGUAGUCCACGCCCUAAACGAUGAACACUCGAUGUUGGCGAUAUACGGUCAGCGUCUAAGCGAAAGCGU
Molecule: ribosomal RNA, 776 nt
Filed under: uncultured bacterium
Lineage: Bacteria
Description: bacterial SSU rRNA
Rfam family: Bacterial small subunit ribosomal RNA
Source: RNAcentral